GGGGCGGAUGUAGCCAAUGGGAUCAAGGCAGUGAAUUGUGAAUCCACCAUGCGCG
RNAcentral lists this transfer RNA (55 nucleotides) under Schrenkia involucrata. Its description in RNAcentral is "partial tRNA-His". Lineage: Eukaryota; Viridiplantae; Streptophyta; Magnoliopsida; Apiales; Apiaceae. The record is from RNAcentral.